RNAcentral lists this ribosomal RNA (620 nucleotides) under uncultured Basidiomycota. RNAcentral describes it as "LSU rRNA". It matches the Rfam family "Eukaryotic large subunit ribosomal RNA", at positions 1 to 635 of the family's 3401-position model. The record is from RNAcentral. Lineage: Eukaryota; Fungi; Basidiomycota.
CCUCAAAUCAGGUAGGACUACCCGCUGAACUUAAGCAUAUCAAUAAGCGGAGGAAAAGAAACUAACAAGGAUUCCCCUAGUAACUGCGAGUGAAGCGGGAAAAGCUCAAAUUUGAAAUCUGGCGGUUUCUGCCGUCCGAGUUGUAUUCUGGAGAAGCGUUUUCCGUGCUGGACCGUGUACAAGUGCCUUGGAACAGGCCGUCAUAGAGGGUGAGAAUCCCGUCUUUGACACGGACUGCCAGUGCUCUGUGAUGCGCUCUCGAAGAGUCGAGUUGUUUGGGAAUGCAGCUCAAAAUGGGUGGUAAAUUCCAUCUAAAGCUAAAUAUUGGCGAGAGACCGAUAGCGAACAAGUACCGUGAGGGAAAGACGAAAAGCACUUUGGAAAGAGAGUAAAACAGUACGUGAAAUUGUUGAAAGGGAGACGCUUGAAGUCAGUCGCGUCUUCUGGAACUCAGCCUUGCUUCUGCUUGGUGCACUUUCCAGUCUGACGGGCCAGCAUCGGUUUUGGCGGGGCAGACAAAGGCGGGGGGAAGGUGGCCGCUCCGGCGGUGUUAUAGCCCCCCGUUGCAUGUGUCCCCUGGGACCGAGGAAUCCGGCGCAAGCCUGGGAUGCUGGCGUAAU